This is a long non-coding RNA of Bradysia coprophila, 703 nucleotides long. RefSeq lists it as uncharacterized. Lineage: Eukaryota; Metazoa; Arthropoda; Insecta; Diptera; Sciaridae. The record is from RefSeq and is a predicted model, not a curated record.
AUACGUGUAUAAAAGGACGAGAAGCACUUACAAUUAUCAUCAGAGCAAACAAGUUCUUAGUCCAGAUCAGAAGACUACAAGCUGAAAUUCGAUCAGUAUCAAUAAUAUCAUUCAACAAAAUACAGUUAUCACAAUGAAGUGCACCUUCGGUUGGAUGAUCAUGGCUGUCUUGGUUACUUUGAUUGCAACACCAGGAUUAUCAGAUCCGGUGCCACAGCCAGAACCUGAACCAAUUUUACCAAUUGUAGGUAUUCUUGCUGCUGCAGGUUCAGUUGCUGGCGGUGCUUCAGCAGCAGCAGGAACAGGUGUAGCUGCAAAUGCAUGUAGUAACGAUUGUUUUCUAAAUAAUUGGCGAGCACGUGAUAAAAAAUGUGGUGGCGGCGGUAGAUAUUCUUAUAAUGCACCUAUUCAGGGAAAAUGUUACUGUUGCAAAUAAGAAUUUUUGAUUAUUUUCCUAGUUUGAUUAAAAUUGAUUUUGAAUAAGUUUCGUUGAAAUGUUAAUUAUUUCUCAGUAAAAGUGUCUUUUCUUCGUGUAAAAUUUACCGAUUGAAUUGUUGCAAUAGUUUUGAAAAAUCAACUUUUUGAAGUUUUGCAAAAGCGACAGAAAUAGGUCCCAUUGAAAGACUUAACAAAACCUAAGAUUGUAUUGAGCCCUAAAUUAUCUCCAAUUACAAAUACCACAAUAAAUUUGACUCUUUUAUAA